RNAcentral lists this transfer RNA (77 nucleotides) under Gardnerella vaginalis. RNAcentral's name for it is "tRNA-Val". It matches the Rfam family "tRNA". Rfam says of the family: Transfer RNA (tRNA) molecules are approximately 80 nucleotides in length. Their secondary structure includes four short double-helical elements and three loops (D, anti-codon, and T loops). Further hydrogen bonds mediate the characteristic L-shaped molecular structure. tRNAs have two regions of fundamental functional importance: the anti-codon, which is responsible for specific mRNA codon recognition, and the 3' end, to which the tRNAs corresponding amino acid is attached (by aminoacyl-tRNA synthetases). tRNAs cope with the degeneracy of the genetic code in two manners: having more than one tRNA (with a specific anti-codon) for a particular amino acid; and 'wobble' base-pairing, i.e. permitting non-standard base-pairing at the 3rd anti-codon position. Lineage: Bacteria; Bacillati; Actinomycetota; Actinomycetes; Bifidobacteriales; Bifidobacteriaceae. RNAcentral also lists the same sequence under 1 other name. The record is from RNAcentral.
GGGCGAUUAGCUCAGCUGGCUAGAGCGCCACCUUUACACGGUGGAUGUCGGGGGUUCGAGUCCCUCAUCGCCCACAA